UACGUAGGGGGCAAGCGUUGUCCGGAUUUAUUGGGCGUAAAGAGCGUGUAGGCGGCUUGGUAGGUCCGCUGUGAAAACUCGAGGCUCAACCUCGAGAUGUCGGCGGAAACCACUUGGCUAGAGUCCGGAAGAGGAGAGUGGAAUUCCUGGUGUAGCGGUGAAAUGCGCAGAUAUCAGGAAGAACACCCGUGGCUAAGGCGGUUCUCUAGUACGGUACUGACGCUGAGACGCGAAAGCGUGGGGAGCGAACAGG
This 253-nucleotide ribosomal RNA is filed under the name uncultured bacterium. Its description in RNAcentral is "partial 16S ribosomal RNA". It matches the Rfam family "Bacterial small subunit ribosomal RNA", at positions 524 to 776 of the family's 1533-position model. The record is from RNAcentral.